UGAAAUUUCCUGGAGCAUAAUAACCACUUUGGUCUUAGAAGUAGUUUUUAUUUUCAGUCUUCUUCCUCAGAUUUUCCUUGCAAAUAUUGUGCUUUCUCAGCAAAUCUGUUGUCUGCUUCUUGUCUUUGGAAAUCCUGGGGUUUUGUAGCGUGCAUUUUACUCUAAGGGCGUUGGACAUCCUGCAAGUAGAAUCAGCUCUAAACUUGUAUGAAUCCUAAUUCAUCUAUGAGAUCGACUUAAAUUCUCCAGAGUUUUCCAGGGUUGUUCUUUUGCCAAAGCUUCUCAUCUCUGAAUUUAAUUUCAAUUUAAUCAUAAGCUCGUUAUAUUUCUCAGUACGAAAUUAAGGGUCAGAUUAGCGCAGGGGAUCGUGGCCAGACUUUUGGAUGUUGCAUUAUCACCACUUUGAAUUUUUCCUUCGAUGGUCCACCAGAGAGAACAAAGAGAAAUCUGAACUCACAAUCACAUGUAGCAAGCAGAAGUCACAGCUCACACCCAUAAGAACAAGUUAAAG
Molecule: long non-coding RNA, 511 nt
Filed under: Populus tremula
Lineage: Eukaryota; Viridiplantae; Streptophyta; Magnoliopsida; Malpighiales; Salicaceae
Description: long non-coding RNA (PTRE_LNC001312)
Source: RNAcentral